This 2899-nucleotide ribosomal RNA is filed under the name Enterobacter roggenkampii. RNAcentral describes it as "23S ribosomal RNA". It matches the Rfam family "Bacterial large subunit ribosomal RNA". Lineage: Bacteria; Pseudomonadati; Pseudomonadota; Gammaproteobacteria; Enterobacterales; Enterobacteriaceae. The record is from RNAcentral.
UUAAGCGACUAAGCGUACACGGUGGAUGCCCUGGCAGUCAGAGGCGAUGAAGGACGUGCUAAUCUGCGAAAAGCGCCGGCGAGGUGAUAUGAACCUUUGACCCGGCGAUGUCCGAAUGGGGAAACCCAGUGUGAUUCGUCACACUAUCGUUAACUGAAUACAUAGGUUAACGAGGCGAACCGGGGGAACUGAAACAUCUAAGUACCCCGAGGAAAAGAAAUCAACCGAGAUUCCCCCAGUAGCGGCGAGCGAACGGGGAGCAGCCCAGAGUCUGAAUCAGCUUGUGUGUUAGUGGAAGCGUCUGGAAAGUCGCACGGUACAGGGUGACAGUCCCGUACACGAAAAUGCACAGGUUGUGAACUCGAAGAGUAGGGCGGGACACGUGGUAUCCUGUCUGAAUAUGGGGGGACCAUCCUCCAAGGCUAAAUACUCCUGACUGACCGAUAGUGAACCAGUACCGUGAGGGAAAGGCGAAAAGAACCCCGGCGAGGGGAGUGAAAAAGAACCUGAAACCGUGUACGUACAAGCAGUGGGAGCACCUUCGGGUGUGACUGCGUACCUUUUGUAUAAUGGGUCAGCGACUUAUAUUCUGUAGCAAGGUUAACCGUAUAGGGGAGCCGAAGGGAAACCGAGUCUUAACUGGGCGUUAAGUUGCAGGGUAUAGACCCGAAACCCGGUGAUCUAGCCAUGGGCAGGUUGAAGGUUGGGUAACACUAACUGGAGGACCGAACCGACUAAUGUUGAAAAAUUAGCGGAUGACUUGUGGCUGGGGGUGAAAGGCCAAUCAAACCGGGAGAUAGCUGGUUCUCCCCGAAAGCUAUUUAGGUAGCGCCUCGUGAACUCAUCUUCGGGGGUAGAGCACUGUUUCGGCUAGGGGGCCAUCCCGGCUUACCAACCCGAUGCAAACUACGAAUACCGAAGAAUGUUAUCACGGGAGACACACGGCGGGUGCUAACGUCCGUCGUGAAGAGGGAAACAACCCAGACCGCCAGCUAAGGUCCCAAAGUCAUGGUUAAGUGGGAAACGAUGUGGGAAGGCACAGACAGCCAGGAUGUUGGCUUAGAAGCAGCCAUCAUUUAAAGAAAGCGUAAUAGCUCACUGGUCGAGUCGGCCUGCGCGGAAGAUGUAACGGGGCUAAACCAUGCACCGAAGCUGCGGCAGCGACACUAUGUGUUGUUGGGUAGGGGAGCGUUCUGUAAGCCGUUGAAGGUGUGCUGUGAGGCAUGCUGGAGGUAUCAGAAGUGCGAAUGCUGACAUAAGUAACGAUAAAGCGGGUGAAAAGCCCGCUCGCCGGAAGACCAAGGGUUCCUGUCCAACGUUAAUCGGGGCAGGGUGAGUCGACCCCUAAGGCGAGGCCGAAAGGCGUAGUCGAUGGGAAACAGGUUAAUAUUCCUGUACUUGGUGUUACUGCGAAGGGGGACGGAGAAGGCUAUGUUAGCCGGGCGACGGUUGUCCCGGUUUAAGCAUGUAGGCGGAACGAUUAGGUAAAUCCGGUCGUUUUUAACGCUGAGGUGUGAUGACGAGGCACUACGGUGCUGAAGUAACAAAUGCCCUGCUUCCAGGAAAAGCCUCUAAGCAUCAGGUAACAUCAAAUCGUACCCCAAACCGACACAGGUGGUCAGGUAGAGAAUACCAAGGCGCUUGAGAGAACUCGGGUGAAGGAACUAGGCAAAAUGGUGCCGUAACUUCGGGAGAAGGCACGCUGAUAUGUAGGUGAAGCCCCUGCGGGUGGAGCUGAAAUCAGUCGAAGAUACCAGCUGGCUGCAACUGUUUAUUAAAAACACAGCACUGUGCAAACACGAAAGUGGACGUAUACGGUGUGACGCCUGCCCGGUGCCGGAAGGUUAAUUGAUGGGGUUAGCGGCAACGCGAAGCUCUUGAUCGAAGCCCCGGUAAACGGCGGCCGUAACUAUAACGGUCCUAAGGUAGCGAAAUUCCUUGUCGGGUAAGUUCCGACCUGCACGAAUGGCGUAAUGAUGGCCAGGCUGUCUCCACCCGAGACUCAGUGAAAUUGAACUCGCUGUGAAGAUGCAGUGUACCCGCGGCAAGACGGAAAGACCCCGUGAACCUUUACUAUAGCUUGACACUGAACACUGGUCCUUGAUGUGUAGGAUAGGUGGGAGGCUUUGAAGUGUGGACGCCAGUCUGCAUGGAGCCGUCCUUGAAAUACCACCCUUUAAUGGCUGGUGUUCUAACGUAGACCCGUAAUCCGGGUUGCGGACAGUGUCUGGUGGGUAGUUUGACUGGGGCGGUCUCCUCCCAAAGAGUAACGGAGGAGCACGAAGGUUAGCUAAUCCUGGUCGGACAUCAGGAGGUUAGUGCAAUGGCAUAAGCUAGCUUGACUGCGAGAGUGACGGCUCGAGCAGGUGCGAAAGCAGGUCAUAGUGAUCCGGUGGUUCUGAAUGGAAGGGCCAUCGCUCAACGGAUAAAAGGUACUCCGGGGAUAACAGGCUGAUACCGCCCAAGAGUUCAUAUCGACGGCGGUGUUUGGCACCUCGAUGUCGGCUCAUCACAUCCUGGGGCUGAAGUAGGUCCCAAGGGUAUGGCUGUUCGCCAUUUAAAGUGGUACGCGAGCUGGGUUUAGAACGUCGUGAGACAGUUCGGUCCCUAUCUGCCGUGGGCGCUGGAGAAUUGAGGGGGGCUGCUCCUAGUACGAGAGGACCGGAGUGGACGCAUCACUGGUGUUCGGGUUGUCAUGCCAAUGGCACUGCCCGGUAGCUAAAUGCGGAAAAGAUAAGUGCUGAAAGCAUCUAAGCACGAAACUUGCCCCGAGAUGAGUUCUCCCUGAGACUUUAAGUCUCCUGAAGGAACGUUGAAGACGACGACGUUGAUAGGUCGGGUGUGUAAGCGCAGCGAUGCGUUGAGCUAACCGAUACUAAUGAACCGUGAGGCUUAACCU